AUUGAACGCUGGCGGCAUGCCUUACACAUGCAAGUCGAACGGCAGCACGGGUGCUUGCACCUGGUGGCGAGUGGCGAACGGGUGAGUAAUACAUCGGAACAUGUCCUGUAGUGGGGGAUAGCCCGGCGAAAGCCGGAUUAAUACCGCAUACGAUCUACGGAUGAAAGCGGGGGACCUUCGGGCCUCGCGCGAUAGGGUUGGCCGAUGGCUGAUUAGCUAGUUGGUGGGGUAAAGGCCUACCAAGGCGACGAUCAGUAGCUGGUCUGAGAGGACGACCAGCCACACUGGGACUGGGCCACGGCCCAGACUCCUACGGGAGGCAGCAGUGGGGAAUUGUGGACAAUGGGCGAAAGCCUGAUCCAGCAAUGCCGCGUGUGUGAAGAAGGCCUUCGGGUUGUAAAGCACUUUUGUCCGGAAAGAAAUCCUUGGCCCUAAUACGGUCGGGGGAUGACGGUACCGGAAGAAGAAGCACCGGCUAACUACGUG
Molecule: ribosomal RNA, 486 nt
Filed under: uncultured bacterium
Lineage: Bacteria
Description: partial 16S ribosomal RNA
Rfam family: Bacterial small subunit ribosomal RNA
Source: RNAcentral